GGAUGAGAAGGUAGCAGUUUUGCAAGUUUUUUGGGGUGACUGUUCAGAGGAGCUUGUAAUCAAAGCUCAUCAGGCUGGAGUCAAGGUUGCUCCCCAAGUUGGGAGCUUUGAAGAUGCUAAAAAAGCCAUCAGUGUUGGUGUCGAUGCAAUUAUUGUCCAAGGACGCGAAGCCGGAGGGCAUGUCAUUGGUCAGGAAAGCUUAAUUUCACUGUUGCCAAGGGUAGUUGAUCUUGUUAGCGAUCAUGAUAUGCCCGUAAUUGCUGCUGGUGGUAUUGUAGAUGCCCGUGGCUAUGUUGCUGCUCUGGCCCUUGG
This 312-nucleotide unclassified non-coding RNA is filed under the name Hevea brasiliensis (rubber tree). Lineage: Eukaryota; Viridiplantae; Streptophyta; Magnoliopsida; Malpighiales; Euphorbiaceae. The record is from RNAcentral.